GGAUGUGAGGGCGAUCUGGCUGCGACAUCUGUCACCCCAUUGAUCGCCAGGGUUGAUUUGACUGAUCUGGCUGGCUAGGCGGGUGUCCCCCUCCUCCCUCACCGAUCCAUGUGCGUCCCUCCCGAAGCUGCGCGGUCGGUCCAAGAGGACGACCUUCCCCCCCGAGGAGAGGACCGGUCUUCGGUCAAGGGUAUACGAGUAGCUGCGCUCCCCUGCUAGAACCUCCAAACAAGCUCUCAAAAUAAAUAAAAACAUAUACUUGGGUGAGGAUUUAAAAAAAAAAUUGAUGGCUGAGAGUGCAUGAAGGUAAAGAUCCUUGGAGUUAGGA
Molecule: non-coding RNA, 328 nt
Organism: Myotis lucifugus (little brown bat)
Lineage: Eukaryota; Metazoa; Chordata; Mammalia; Chiroptera; Vespertilionidae
Source: Rfam